UUUGCAUAUCUCAGAGUCCUCUGAGAAGAAAAUCAUUAUCUCUGUUUCAUAGAUUGUGAGAUGAAGGCAUAAAGAGUUACCUCACGGUGGUAUAUUGAAGAAUAUGAAGUGAGGAGCAGAACGGAGAGGAAACUCCAGAUCUCUUGAAACUCCAGCUCAGCACAAGAGAAAAGAAAUGCAUUACCAUCUGAUGAUAAGGAGCUAGCAGAGUCCACACGUGCAUUCAGACCGUGGGUAUAUGUAAACUACGUUCCCCGUGAGAAGAGUGUCUGUAUACUUGACAGACUGGCCACAGGAUGGGGUUUAUUGCCACAGUCCUUUCCUGGAAGAUGAUUUAGCCACCAGCAACCUUUGUACGUGUAAGGUAACAAAACUUGACAUGGUAACACUGAAACUUGCCACUUGAUUCUUCUGUUCUUUUGCAGUUCUCAUGAGUUUCUCAUUCACUGACUCCUUUCCCGGUAUACAUUAACUCAAAUAUUAUUAACAAAGACCGUCUUAAAAGCCAGUGGAUAGUCAUUGCCAGUGUGAGAUAGGCCCAGAUUUUGAAUGCAAUCCCUUUUUGUAAUGAUGAUGAUCAAUAGUGUCUUGGAGGGAGGGGGCUCAGGUGCUGGACGUACUCCGGUGAGGAGCGGCAGCCUCUCGAAGACAGAUCGCAGAACUGCUGAGACUGGACCGGACAAUUCAAGUUAAGUCUUUGGUGUUCGGGACCGACGAGACCCUGGCUACCUCCUGAGAUAACGUGAUGCCCACACAGACUCCUGCUGUGGUGUGCCUGUCUGUUUUCAAGGAUGGCUCUGGAUUGUGCCUCUGUGCAGGCUGUGAUACUGAAUAAGCUGGCCUCAUCUGGCAGGCAAAGCAUCUCUCUGUUGAAUUAAUAGCUUUAUGUGGCUCAUAGGAUGAAACGGGAAGGCAAUCUGAGGGUGUUAGAACAUCAUCAUCUUCUUUUCUUCUUCUUAACAGAACCAUAGCUUCUGUGCCUCUCCAGCAGAAAUGACCUUCAAGGUCUGUUGUGACAAGGCCUAAGUGGAUGCAUUUCUUAUGGGGAUGAAGCAACAAGGUUGUUUGCUUCUGUUGGUUAAAAAUAGACUUUUAUGGUUACUUUAAUGUCUCAUUUUUCUUUAUACUUGGAAGGCUUAAAAAUUUGCCCUGACACAUAUCGGUAAAACAGAAGCUACAGGGAAAGAGUCAGCUAUAAGAUAUCCAAGCAAAAGGAUACUUUAAAAUCCAUCAKUUUCUGUGGCAUCUUUCAUAUGCACAAAGUUACAAUGCCUGGCAGGCUAUCUCAGUGUGUCCAAUUGCCUGUUUUAACAAACACAUCUUUAGACUUGUGGAAGUAAAGUAAGGUCAUUGCUUGAAUGAGUAAGCUGACACUUGGAAAGAGAUGCAGUGUGAUAGGUCUACUGCUCUCCAAACAGUGUGUACAGAAAAAAUAACAGUAAAACUAAAAGAUAACAUAUAAGCAAUAAAAAAUAGCAAGUAUCUCUUCCUAGGCA
RNAcentral lists this long non-coding RNA (1496 nucleotides) under Dromaius novaehollandiae (emu). Its description in RNAcentral is "lncRNA (ENSDNVG00000001422.1)". Lineage: Eukaryota; Metazoa; Chordata; Aves; Casuariiformes; Dromaiidae. The record is from RNAcentral.